UGUUGUGACAGUGUGGUUAGGCUUCCUGCUUUUAACUCAUUUUCCUGUGAAACAUGGCCCUCAGAAGAUGUUACAAUUUUCUCAGAGAUACUGCUAUCACUAUCAUCACUAUCAAAAUGUGCCUUUACGAAGGACAAGAAAGAGUUUUCCCAUUUAUUAAAGCUAUUAUUUUUCUGAACUGAGUUACUAUUUUCCUGAGAUUUGUAUGGGCUACUGUGUUGUUUUUGCCACAGGACCUGCUGGAAUAUAUUCAAUUUGGAAUUUCAGAAGAGUGGACUAUGUACAAGAAACUCAAAUAUAGACUUAAGAGUAGAUCCAUCUAGAUAUGACCUCUUCAGUUAAGAGACUAUACAAGCUACUUCUACCAAGCAGAAUAAUUCUUACAUAAUUAAUUAGAUCAUCAUCAUUUCCUACUGUCUCUACCUAAUAUGGUUCUAAUUUGAAUGCUUCAUUGUCUUCAAAACAAAAUAUAGGCAUAGAAAGGUUUAAUAACAUUGUAAUUGCUUAUGCAACAAAAGAUGGUUUUGAAAAGAAGCAUAGGUUAAUAAUAAAAAUAAUGUACUUUAGUAUACCUUUUAUUGCUUCCUUCAAAUACUGAAGGCAAAAUUAAAACUACCUAUCUGUGCAUUCACCCCAAAAUGAUAAAAACCUAGAAGAAAUGCCUUGCAUGCAGAAAGUACUAAUUGAAUAUUUGACAGAAGAAAGAAUAAAUGAAUAUUUCAGAUGUGAUUCAUUAAAAUAUGAAUUUCCA
Molecule: long non-coding RNA, 751 nt
Organism: Dipodomys spectabilis (banner-tailed kangaroo rat)
Lineage: Eukaryota; Metazoa; Chordata; Mammalia; Rodentia; Heteromyidae
Exons: 4
Source: RefSeq, a predicted model, not a curated record